Molecule: ribosomal RNA, 86 nt
Filed under: uncultured bacterium
Lineage: Bacteria
Description: partial 16S ribosomal RNA
Source: RNAcentral
UAUAACGCGAAGAACCUUACCGCCCGCCGCGCCCCGCGCCCGUCCCGCCGCCCCCGCCCGUCACACCAUGGGAGUGGGAUCAAAAG